RNAcentral lists this long non-coding RNA (387 nucleotides) under Struthio camelus australis. RNAcentral's name for it is "lncRNA (ENSSCUG00000004398.1)". The record is from RNAcentral. Lineage: Eukaryota; Metazoa; Chordata; Aves; Struthioniformes; Struthionidae.
AACAGAAUUGCCAUAAAGAAGCUGUGGAUGAACUCACUAAAGCAAUAGAAGUUUCAUCUAUCCCUAAGAGAGUAUGUCAAGUUGGCUGUUUUUCCACAUCUAUUCUCCAAACACCAGCGCUUUGUCGAAGAGCGUAUGCACAUGUGAAGUGUGAAAAUUGGAAAAAAGCAAUAGAUGAUGCUAACAAGGCUGCCCAAUUGGACCCUGCAAACCCUGUAAGUACUAGUGAUAUGAACCGUAUGUUCUAGCAUUUAAUUUCCAUUAGUGCUUGAUUUUGUUCGUUUAGCUCUUACUGAUGUCCCAGAAAUCAUUUGUCUAGUCUGAUGUAUUUGUUGUGUGGGAGCACUACAUUGACUAGCUUUUAAAUGGUGAUACUGUAAUCAAAAU